AGUUUGAUCCUGGCUCUAGAUUGAACGCUGGCGGCAUGCCUUACACAUGCAAGUCGAACGGCAGCACGGGGGCAACCCUGGUGGCGAGUGGCGAACGGGUGAGUAAUACAUCGGAACGUGUCCUGUAGUGGGGGAUAGCCCGGCGAAAGCCGGAUUAAUACCGCAUACGCUCUACGGAGGAAAGGGGGGGAUCUUAGGACCUCCCGCUACAGGGGCGGCCGAUGGCAGAUUAGCUAGUUGGUGGGGUAAAGGCCUACCAAGGCGACGAUCUGUAGCUGGUCUGAGAGGACGACCAGCCACACUGGGACUGAGACACGGCCCAGACUCCUACGGGAGGCAGCAGUGGGGAAUUUUGGACAAUGGGGGAAACCCUGAUCCAGCAAUGCCGCGUGUGUGAAGAAGGCCUUCGGGUUGUAAAGCACUUUUGUCCGGAAAGAAAACCUCUGGGUUAAUACCCCGGGGGGAUGACGGUACCGGAAGAAUAAGCACCGGAUACUAG
RNAcentral lists this ribosomal RNA (499 nucleotides) under Burkholderia sp. PN1(12). RNAcentral describes it as "bacterial SSU rRNA". It matches the Rfam family "Bacterial small subunit ribosomal RNA", at positions 10 to 503 of the family's 1533-position model. The record is from RNAcentral. Lineage: Bacteria; Pseudomonadati; Pseudomonadota; Betaproteobacteria; Burkholderiales; Burkholderiaceae.